This is a long non-coding RNA of Nicotiana tabacum (common tobacco), 737 nucleotides long. RefSeq lists it as uncharacterized. The record is from RefSeq and is a predicted model, not a curated record. Lineage: Eukaryota; Viridiplantae; Streptophyta; Magnoliopsida; Solanales; Solanaceae.
AAAAUAACUUUUUGUUUUAGUAAAUUCCCCCCAAAUCCCCAACCCGCUACUCGGCUAACCGCAUAUCACUCUCCUCUGCCGCCUCUGUAGCUCCCAAACGCCACUUUCAAUCAGGAACAUAGGAUAUGAUGAUGGAUGCUCAAACGCAAGAAGCAUUAUCCCCUCCUCAAGUGAAAGCCACACUCCGCCUUGGAACAGAAACACACUCUGUCGAGGUUUGUAAAGGGAUUCUUUCUGAGCAAUUGAUCUCUAUGAAAGAGCAAAGCAUGACUAUACUGAAGGACUACAUUACCAAGCAUAAUGUUCCAAAUGAGGUCCCUGAUGAACCAGAAGAAUUUUCUUCAGAAGAUGAUGGUGAAAUUUCUGAGGAGCCCUCUGUAAAAUCCAAGAAGCGCAAGUAAAUCUAUUUUCUCCUUUUAUGCUUAUGUCAUUGUAGGUUUUCCUAUUUUUAUGAUGGCUAUUAACACUCUUACAUGGUGAAAUUGUAGUUGAAAAAGAUGUUGAAUUAAUUUCCAGUUACUAUAAUUUGAGAUCAGGGGAACUGUUUGAGUAGUUUAUGAGAGUGAGAUGUGAAUGCUUGGUGAAAGUUCUGCUUUCUCUUUAAUUUGACAAUAUUUCAUUCGAAUGGAGUGUAACAUAGGCCUUUCUGUUUGUUAGAACUUGUAAUGUUUUGAAGAUUGUAUUCGUACGUCAUAUCUGUCUUUUUAAAUGAUUGAUCAAAAGUGAUUACGAUGUUA